This 100-nucleotide signal recognition particle RNA is filed under the name Dehalococcoidia bacterium. Its description in RNAcentral is "signal recognition particle sRNA small type". It matches the Rfam family "Bacterial small signal recognition particle RNA". From Rfam's summary of the family: The signal recognition particle (SRP) is a universally conserved ribonucleoprotein involved in the co-translational targeting of proteins to membranes. Lineage: Bacteria; Bacillati; Chloroflexota; Dehalococcoidia. The record is from RNAcentral. RNAcentral also lists the same sequence under 2 other names.
CGCCGGGAACUGCGCGGCGAGUUCACGGUGAAUUCCGCCAGGGCCGGAAGGCAGCAAUGGUAAGCCGACGGAUUCGGGCGACGCAAUCUUCCCGGCGUUC